AGAAAUUCGUCAAACAACUAUCGGAUGCGGAAGCUAAACCAUUCUUGGUUCUUGACUACGUUGAAGGUACAAAAUGGUUGCUUCCCCCUCCGACAGUACCUAAAUAAUUCAUUCAUUCCCAACUUUUUCAUGCCGGCAACGUAUACUCACAGUAUUGCUAAUUCAAGCAGACUCUCGUCUACCUCUUUGCUGGGUGGAAAUAACUAGCCAUCCAUUUUAUUUUAUUUAUUUUAUUUUCCCUUCCCAUGGCUUGUAUUUUAACAAAUAGCCAAAUGUCAAUAAGAAGCAGAAUUUAGUCUUAUUUUUAUUAAUAGUUAGGAUGUUGAUAUUUGCGAUUAUGUAGAAAAUUUCCAUCAUAUCAAGUUAAAAUUAUGUAAUAAUAUCCAUCAUAUAUCCAAGUUCAUUGAUUCAAUAAGUCAAGGUGAUUUCACAAACUUUUGCAUUUUAGCAAAUAAAUGGACCAUUACUGUAUAUUUGUGUAACAGCUCGUUUUCAGUAGUGUCAGAAAUAGUGGAUUUGGGACCACGAUUUUGACAAGCAGUCAGCAUUUUAAUUAAUUUUUCUUUGAUAAAAUUAUUUUAAUUAUUUAUUUAGUAUUUGCUGGGUUCAUGCCCCCGUUAAUGACUCCCUAGGGUUUAGGUUCUUCCUUUCCCAAACAGUUGAUCCGUUGAGUAGCCCUAUAAAACAGUUAACAAAUCAUACCUCCACUCGCUAAUCCCCAUAGAGGGGUCAGUUCCUCAUGGUUUUCAUAAAUAAUAUGGAAUUGAGUUAAAGAUAGAACAUGAUAAUUGAAUUGAGGUGUAGAGUUUAAAAAAGUACCUGAUUUGUAGUAAAGAUGAAUAUGAAUUCACAAAGUUUGAUCGUCUUUACAAAUCAGAUCUCUCGAGAUAAAGCAAGAACAACUUGAAAAUAAUUCUAAAAACCUAAAAGAAAGAAUAUCUGAACUGGAAUUAAAAGAAAAAAGAACUAUACUAAGUAAUUGAUGUCCGUAACAUGUGAAAAAAGAUCCUAUUUAUAGAUUUCAGGUGGCCUUCGUCGUCAAACCUAGGUUAGUUGAAGUUCUAGAGCUUUAAGUUUGAUUAUGCAAACCAAAACGCCCUCUGGCUCGUGUUAGUUUCCGUCCAGAGUCGAUGUCGCGAUACAUCAGGACCUGUGUCGCAACAAAGGAUUCUAUACACUCCUCUUGGGAUAUCUUUAGGGGUAUGUCGCAACACCCUUAUAUUGUGUCGCAACAUCGAAAGCAGUUUCGUGAUUUCUUUAUCCUGCUCCCUAAGUUGCUACAUUGAUCAUUUUGUGUUGAGACAUAGUGACCAGAAUCUGUUAAUUACUCUUUCUAAUGCUCUCCUGCAUACUUACACAGUUCAUUAGCUUCCCCUUAAACCUCAUCCAGCCCCUAAGGUUAAUAAAAGGCUCAAUUUGUACAUCACAUUACAUUUAAGAAGAGUUGCAAGAACAUAAUUAAAAUCUAACGAAAAUGCUUGCUUUCAACCUCCUAAAGUGCGGAAAUUAGUUUAAUCUACUACACGGAAUUACGGUAUGUCAAGUACACGACUUCAUGCUCGAAUCCACGAUUUAUAAUGUUAUUUAUAGCCCUUUUCACAUAAUUUUGGCUUUUUUUAAUAGCUAAAUCAAGUCAUUUUGUAAUAAUAUAUGUUUUUACAGGUUAAAUAGUUAACUUAGUUUUUUUUAAUAGAUUUUAUUGUAUUUGAUAGCUAAAAAAGGGUUAUGUGGUUCUAUAAGAUGAACCGAGAGUUAAUAAUGGAAUUUCAGGCCAAAACUGCUGCUGAUGUCGUGACCACAAAGUAUGGAAGUAAUAUAAAUAUUAACUUUGUUAAUUACCAUUUGAUUCUUUUUUAGUUAUAUAAAUACUUGCUUAAUUUAAAUCUGUUCCUAUAAAAUACUUUAAGAUGUAUUCCCUAUGUUUUAUAUAAUCACAACUUGUGUGAAAUUGCCGUAUAAAAUUUAUAUUUUUAUUUAGAAACUUAGUACGUUAUAGAUAUUUUAUGUUCGGUAUUGUGUUUCGUAGAUUCUAUCAACAAAUUUUUUCGACCUUUCACGAAUGAAAGAAAAGGAAACAUAAAACUUAAUUGGCAAUUUCCAAUUAGAAUCAAACUUUUCCUCAUUUAUAUAAACCUAAUAGAUAAUUAAUUUAGUAAUAACUUCAAAAUAAACAAGUAAGUAUUAACGGGGCAACAAAUGAAGGCAACAACAUAAAAUAUUUCCAUUCCUUACAUUAAAUUCACCCGGUUUAGGUUUUGCACUUAGGAUUAUUGUUCAAUGAUCAUGGGUGUCUGAAGUCCAAAUUCCGUGUAUUUGGCAACAAUUAUAUUCAAUUUAUACUCAUUAAUGGCGAUCAACUGCCAAAUGCUCGGUCUGAACUGUAGCAAUGCUUGCACCAAGAACUACGCAAAUGAGUGGCAAUGCGAGGAAUCCUCCAAGUCUCAUUUGUUUUAAUACUUUUUUUGUCACCAAUUUAUCUUAUAAAUUGGAGUCACUUAGAAUUCAAAGACAACCUCAAUAAUCAAUAAACGAAGAAAAUAAACAAAUUACUCUUUUUAUUAAAAGGAAAGAAGGAGGAGGAGGAAAUGGAUGGAAAAAGAAUCGAGGGCAAUGAAGUUUAUGCUCUAGCAAUGUGUGUAAGUAUUCUCCUCUUUGCUCCGAUUGUUGUGUCACAACCAAUACCGGCAGAUAAAUCCCAAGUGGAAGCUUGGUUUAAUGGCAUUAUCAAGCCGGUGAAGGAAAGGGGUACAACCUUAGACCCUGAAUUGGUUCAAGCCGAGACAGAACCUAGAAUCAUAAAGGUGAUGCAAGGUGGGGGUGGAGAAUUCGAUACCAUAACCAAAGCCAUCGAGAGCGUUCCAUCAGGGAACGCCAAACGCGUGAUUAUAUCCAUCGGACCUGGAUCUUACAAAGAGAAAAUUAGAAUUGAAAGAAAUAAGCCUUUCAUUACAUUGUUAGGAGAUCCUAAAAACAUGCCAAAUUUGACAUUUGACGGCACCGCCAAGCAAUAUGGAACCGUAGAUAGUGCCACUCUUAUUACUGAGAGUAAUUACUUUGUGGGUGCUAAUCUCAAUAUAGUGGUAAGUUAAUGUAGAGUUUAGACAACCAUGAUCUGUCCUUUAUUGAAUUGAUUAUUAAAGGGAUUUUUUUUUAUGGUGGCAUGUUAUGCAUAUAGAACUCUGCUCCAAGGCCAGACGGGAAAAUGGUAGGAGCACAGGCGGUUGCUCUGAGAGUCUCCGGCGACAGGUCGGCUUUCUAUAACUGCAAGAUCAUUGGCUUCCAGGACACUUUGUGCGAUGACAGGGGCAACCAUUUCUUUAAGGAUUGCCAUAUUCGUGGCACUGUUGAUUUCAUUUUCGGAAGCGGGACAUCUUUAUAUCUGGUAUUCAUAUUCCCAAUGCGUGAAAUAUGAUGUAUUAUACCCCCAUAUAUAUAUUUGACAAGAAAAGUGGGAUGCAGAACACGGAAAUAUUCGUGGUAGGAGAUCCAGAAGGAGAUCCGGAAAUGGCAAUAAUUACAGCACAUGCGCGAGAAAGUUCAUCGGAGGACACGGGUUAUUCGUUCGUGCAUGGCAGAAUUACAGGAACAGCGAAGGACGUAUUUUUGGGCAGGGCCUGGAAGAGCAGUCCGAGGGUUGUUUAUUCUUAUACUGAAAUGGACGAAAUCGUCCAUCCUGGUGGAUGGUCUAGUAAUCGCCAACCUGAACGAGCCGAGUAAGAUAAUACUCAGCCUUACAACGUUACAUGCCUACAAGUAAACUAAUCUUUCCCAACUUAUUGAUAAAUUUAUUAAGAUAUAUAAUGUGAGAAUGGUUUGACACGCAGCACUGUGUACUACGGAGAAUACAAAUGCACGGGGAAAGGCGCGACUCCUGCUACACGAGAGAAAUUCGUCAAACAACUAUCGGAUGCGGAAGCUAAACCAUUCUUGGUUCUUGACUACGUUGAAGGUACAAAAUGGUUGCUUCCCCCUCCGACAGUACCUAAAUAAUUCAUUCAUUCCCAACUUUUUCAUGCCGGCAACGUAUACUCACAGUAUUGCUAAUUCAAGCAGACUCUCGUCUACCUCUUUGCUGGGUGGAAAUAACUAGCCAUCCAUUUUAUUUUAUUUAUUUUAUUUUCCCUUCCCAUGGCUUGUAUUUUAACAAAUAGCCAAAUGUCAAUAAGAAGCAGAAUUUAGUCUUAUUUUUAUUAAUAGUUAGGAUGUUGAUAUUUGCGAUUAUGUAGAAAAUUUCCAUCAUAUCAAGUUAAAAUUAUGUAAUAAUAUCCAUCAUAUAUCCAAGUUCAUUGAUUCAAUAAGUCAAGGUGAUUUCACAAACUUUUGCAUUUUAGCAAAUAAAUGGACCAUUACUGUAUAUUUGUGUAACAGCUCGUUUUCAGUAGUGUCAGAAAUAGUGGAUUUGGGACCACGAUUUUGACAAGCAGUCAGCAUUUUAAUUAAUUUUUCUUUGAUAAAAUUAUUUUAAUUAUUUAUUUAGUAUUUGCUGGGUUCAUGCCCCCGUUAAUGACUCCCUAGGGUUUAGGUUCUUCCUUUCCCAAACAGUUGAUCCGUUGAGUAGCCCUAUAAAACAGUUAACAAAUCAUACCUCCACUCGCUAAUCCCCAUAGAGGGGUCAGUUCCUCAUGGUUUUCAUAAAUAAUAUGGAAUUGAGUUAAAGAUAGAACAUGAUAAUUGAAUUGAGGUGUAGAGUUUAAAAAAGUACCUGAUUUGUAGUAAAGAUGAAUAUGAAUUCACAAAGUUUGAUCGUCUUUACAAAUCAGAUCUCUCGAGAUAAAGCAAGAACAACUUGAAAAUAAUUCUAAAAACCUAAAAGAAAGAAUAUCUGAACUGGAAUUAAAAGAAAAAAGAACUAUACUAAGUAAUUGAUGUCCGUAACAUGUGAAAAAAGAUCCUAUUUAUAGAUUUCAGGUGGCCUUCGUCGUCAAACCUAGGUUAGUUGAAGUUCUAGAGCUUUAAGUUUGAUUAUGCAAACCAAAACGCCCUCUGGCUCGUGUUAGUUUCCGUCCAGAGUCGAUGUCGCGAUACAUCAGGACCUGUGUCGCAACAAAGGAUUCUAUACACUCCUCUUGGGAUAUCUUUAGGGGUAUGUCGCAACACCCUUAUAUUGUGUCGCAACAUCGAAAGCAGUUUCGUGAUUUCUUUAUCCUGCUCCCUAAGUUGCUACAUUGAUCAUUUUGUGUUGAGACAUAGUGACCAGCAUCUGUUAAUUACUCUUUCUAAUGCUCUCCUGCAUACUUACACAGUUCAUUAGCUUCCCCUUAAACCUCAUCCAGCCCCUAAGGUUAAUAAAAGGCUCAAUUUGUACAUCACAUUACAUUUAAGAAGAGUUGCAAGAACAUAAUUAAAAUCUAACGAAAAUGCUUGCUUUCAACCUCCUAAAGUGCGGAAAUUAGUUUAAUCUACUACACGGAAUUACGGUAUGUCAAGUACACGACUUCAUGCUCGAAUCCACGAUUUAUAAUGUUAUUUAUAGCCCUUUUCACAUAAUUUUGGCUUUUUUUUAAUAGCUAAAUCAAGUCAUUUUGUAAUAAUAUAUGUUUUUACAGGUUAAAUAGUUAACUUAGUUUUUUUUAAUAGAUUUUAUUGUAUUUGAUAGCUAAAAAAAGGUUAUGUGGUUCUAUAAGAUGAACCGAGAGUUAAUAAUGGAAUUUCAGGCCAAAACUGCUGCUGAUGUCGUGACCACAAAGUAUGGAAGUAAUAUAAAUAUUAACUUUGUUAAUUACCAUUUGAUUCUUUUUUAGUUAUAUAAAUACUUGCUUAAUUUAAAUCUGUUCCUAUAAAAUACUUUAAGAUGUAUUCCCUAUGUUUUAUAUAAUCACAACUUGUGUGAAAUUGCCGUAUAAAAUUUAUAUUUUUAUUUAGAAACUUAGUACGUUAUAGAUAUUUUAUGUUCGGUAUUGUGUUUCGUAGAUUCUAUCAACAAAUUUUUUCGACCUUUCACGAAUGAAAGAAAAGGAAACAUAAAACUUAAUUGGCAAUUUCCAAUUAGAAUCAAACUUUUCCUCAUUUAUAUAAACCUAAUAGAUAAUUAAUUUAGUAAUAACUUCAAAAUAAACAAGUAAGUAUUAACGGGGCAACAAAUGAAGGCAACAACAUAAAAUAUUUCCAUUCCUUACAUUAAAUUCACCCGGUUUAGGUUUUGCACUUAGGAUUAUUGUUCAAUGAUCAUGGGUGUCUGAAGUCCAAAUUCCGUGUAUUUGGCAACAAUUAUAUUCAAUUUAUACUCAUUAAUGGCGAUCAACUGCCAAAUGCUCGGUCUGAACUGUAGCAAUGCUUGCACCAAGAACUACGCAAAUGAGUGGCAAUGCGAGGAAUCCUCCAAGUCUCAUUUGUUUUAAUACUUUUUUUGUCACCAAUUUAUCUUAUAAAUUGGAGUCACUUAGAAUUCAAAGACAACCUCAAUAAUCAAUAAACGAAGAAAAUAAACAAAUUACUCUUUUUAUUAAAAGGAAAGAAGGAGGAGGAGGAAAUGGAUGGAAAAAGAAUCGAGGGCAAUGAAGUUUAUGCUCUAGCAAUGUGUGUAAGUAUUCUCCUCUUUGCUCCGAUUGUUGUGUCACAACCAAUACCGGCAGAUAAAUCCCAAGUGGAAGCUUGGUUUAAUGGCAUUAUCAAGCCGGUGAAGGAAAGGGGUACAACCUUAGACCCUGAAUUGGUUCAAGCCGAGACAGAACCUAGAAUCAUAAAGGUGAUGCAAGGUGGGGGUGGAGAAUUCGAUACCAUAACCAAAGCCAUCGAGAGCGUUCCAUCAGGGAACGCCAAACGCGUGAUUAUAUCCAUCGGACCUGGAUCUUACAAAGAGAAAAUUAGAAUUGAAAGAAAUAAGCCUUUCAUUACAUUGUUAGGAGAUCCUAAAAACAUGCCAAAUUUGACAUUUGACGGCACCGCCAAGCAAUAUGGAACCGUAGAUAGUGCCACUCUUAUUACUGAGAGUAAUUACUUUGUGGGUGCUAAUCUCAAUAUAGUGGUAAGUUAAUGUAGAGUUUAGACAACCAUGAUCUGUCCUUUAUUGAAUUGAUUAUUAAAGGGAUUUUUUUUUUAUGGUGGCAUGUUAUGCAUAUAGAACUCUGCUCCAAGGCCAGACGGGAAAAUGGUAGGAGCACAGGCGGUUGCUCUGAGAGUCUCCGGCGACAGGUCGGCUUUCUAUAACUGCAAGAUCAUUGGCUUCCAGGACACUUUGUGCGAUGACAGGGGCAACCAUUUCUUUAAGGAUUGCCAUAUUCGUGGCACUGUUGAUUUCAUUUUCGGAAGCGGGACAUCUUUAUAUCUGGUAUUCAUAUUCCCAAUGCGUGAAAUAUGAUGUAUUAUACCCCCAUAUAUAUAUUUGACAAGAAAAGUGGGAUGCAGAACACGGAAAUAUUCGUGGUAGGAGAUCCAGAAGGAGAUCCGGAAAUGGCAAUAAUUACAGCACAUGCGCGAGAAAGUUCAUCGGAGGACACGGGUUAUUCGUUCGUGCAUGGCAGAAUUACAGGAACAGCGAAGGACGUAUUUUUGGGCAGGGCCUGGAAGAGCAGUCCGAGGGUUGUUUAUUCUUAUACUGAAAUGGACGAAAUCGUCCAUCCUGGUGGAUGGUCUAGUAAUCGCCAACCUGAACGAGCCGAGUAAGAUAAUACUCAGCCUUACAACGUUACAUGCCUACAAGUAAACUAAUCUUUCCCAACUUAUUGAUAAAUUUAUUAAGAUAUAUAAUGUGAGAAUGGUUUGACACGCAGCACUGUGUACUACGGAGAAUACAAAUGCACGGGGAAAGGCGCGACUCCUGCUACACGAGAGAAAUUCGUCAAACAACUAUCGGAUGCGGAAGCUAAACCAUUCUUGGUUCUUGACUACGUUGAAGGUACAAAAUGGUUGCUUCCCCCUCCGACAGUACCUAAAUAAUUCAUUCAUUCCCAACUUUUUCAUGCCGGCAACGUAUACUCACAGUAUUGCUAAUUCAAGCAGACUCUCGUCUACCUCUUUGCUGGGUGGAAAUAACUAGCCAUCCAUUUUAUUUUAUUUAUUUUAUUUUCCCUUCCC
RNAcentral lists this long non-coding RNA (8013 nucleotides) under Gossypium barbadense (sea-island cotton). RNAcentral describes it as "long non-coding RNA (GBAR_LNC023181)". Lineage: Eukaryota; Viridiplantae; Streptophyta; Magnoliopsida; Malvales; Malvaceae. The record is from RNAcentral.